CUACGGGACGCUGCAGUGGGGAAUAUUGCACAAUGGAGGAAACUCUGAUGCAGCAACGCCGCGUGGAGGAUGACACUUUUCGGAGCGUAAACUCCUUUUAUAUAGGAAGAAGAUGACGGUACUAUAUGAAUAAGCGCCGGCCAACUCCGUGCCAGCAGCCGCGGUAAUACGGAGGGCGCAAGCGUUACUCGGAAUCACUGGGCGUAAAGAGCGUGUAGGCGGAUUAAAAAGUCAGAAGUGAAAUCCUAUAGCUUAACUAUAGAACUGCUUCUGAAACUCUUAAUCUAGAAUAUGGGAGAGGUAGAUGGAAUUUCUGGUGUAGGGGUAAAAUCCGUAGAGAUCAGAAGGAAUACCGAUUGCGGAGGCGAUCUACUAGAACAUUAUUGACGCUGAGACGCGAAAGCGUGGGGAGCAAACAGGAUUAGAUACCCUCGUAGUC
Molecule: ribosomal RNA, 439 nt
Filed under: uncultured bacterium
Lineage: Bacteria
Description: partial 16S ribosomal RNA
Rfam family: Bacterial small subunit ribosomal RNA
Source: RNAcentral